GACUCUGCUGCUCCAUGAAAUUUUAGGACUUAUUGCUAUUGUUGAAUCAGGUGACUAAUUUCAGGGAUCUAAAAAGGCCUUAUGAUCCAUCAUCUUUUCCUUCAUCUGCCCACAAUCCCCCAGCAUUGGCCAACAUGGCAAACUCCCAUCUGAGUACCUUGGAACUUAAUCAGUGUGGGGCAGAGAACCUGGAACGGAUAGGCUGUCCGGGGACAGUGACAGGACGGCUGAGGGGAGAGAAAGGAGACAGGCCAGCUGUUUCCUGACGCCCUUGCUCAGUACAAGCACUGAACCUGAGAUCUCGGUAGGUUUGUAUGGAUCUGCAGAGAUCGCCCUAGGUUGGGUUGCUAUGGGAGCAGGUCUUUAACUGGAGGAGUUCUGAGAACGUUUUACCCUCUCUGGAACCAUGAGGAAAUUCUGGAGGGCAGACACGUUCUGUCUCUAGCUUAGCUCUCACUCCUUAAGGUGGGUCUGCCACCGCUGAGGUGCCCCCUUGGGUGGUCUGUGAGACUCCUGCAACAGCUCUGCACGACUUCUGGGGUCCACAGUCCAGGACAGAUGUGAAGUUUUGGCAUCAACAUAUUCUUGGGAGGCUGCGUCGUCCUAUCACAGUGAAGAAAGAAUUAUUUCGCCUCUAUGUUCCCUACAAAGUGUGGGAACUUUGUAAAGUGUGAUUCCGGGGAAAGUGCUCACAACCCUUGAAGGCCAUAUGACCAGCGAUGGAGAGCCAUGUAUGGAUUUGCCUCCGGUUUGUCUUCUCCUGAGGAAGUGGAUGCCAUGUGUCACUUUGCAGAUGGAUCAAGUGCAGGAGGUAUCCAGUUUCCAGGCAGGUUGCAUGGGAGAGAGGCAGGUGUGUGUGUGCAUGCAGAGGAAAGAGAACAAAGCCCGAGGGAUCCAACUUCCAGGAAAUCUCUGUUGCGCUGGUGCAAAGGAAAAAUAACCCCUGCUCUCCUCUCAACUUAAAAAAAUUUUCUGUUUGGUUUUGGUUUACAGAAGUCUAAAUAUUAAGCAGUUUCGUGGUGAUAAUGAUGCAGCCACAUUUUAGAUAAAUUCUUUGAACUUUUUAAAGCCCUUUGUGUUUUCCUAAUAGUUACUCAUAGAAGGGCUGGGAUAGGAAAAAUGCAGGCAGGCCAGCGCCUGCUCCUGAAUGCCCGUUUGAGCAAUCGUAUACCCUACAAAUUCAGCUCGUCACUUUUUUUUCCUGGUGGUGGCAGCAAGAAGUUGGACGGGUUUCUGGGUACAUCUCGUCCUGUG
Molecule: long non-coding RNA, 1254 nt
Filed under: Pan paniscus (pygmy chimpanzee)
Lineage: Eukaryota; Metazoa; Chordata; Mammalia; Primates; Hominidae
Description: lncRNA (ENSPPAG00000044648.1)
Source: RNAcentral